This 72-nucleotide small nucleolar RNA is filed under the name Sus scrofa (pig). Its description in RNAcentral is "Small nucleolar RNA SNORD113/SNORD114 family (ENSSSCG00050027505.1)". It matches the Rfam family "Small nucleolar RNA SNORD113/SNORD114 family". Rfam says of the family: The imprinted human domain at 14q32 contains two clusters of tandemly repeated small nucleolar RNAs named 14q(I) and 14q(II) snoRNAs. These two clusters are named SNORD113 and SNORD114 respectively in the HGNC approved gene symbol nomenclature. The snoRNAs found in both clusters are clearly related and are represented here by a single family. The record is from RNAcentral. Lineage: Eukaryota; Metazoa; Chordata; Mammalia; Artiodactyla; Suidae.
UGGACCAAUGAUGAUGACUGGUGGAGUAUGAGUCAUGAACGAUGAAUACUUGUCUAGAACUCUGAGGUCCAG